CCCGCAACGAGCGCAACCCUCGACCUUAGUUGCCAGCAUUCAGUUGGGCACUCUAAGGUGACUGCCGGCUAAAAGUCGGAGGAAGGUGGGGAUGACGUCAAAUCAUCAUGCCCCUUAUGACCUGGGCUACACACGUGCUACAAUGGGCGGUACAAAGGGUCGCGAACCCGCGAGGGGGAGCCAAUCCCAAAAAGCCGCUCUCAGUUCGGAUUGCAGGCUGCAACUCGCCUGCAUGAAGCCGGAAUCGCUAGUAAUCGCGGAUCAGCAUGCCGCGGUGAAUACGUUCCCGGGCCUU
Molecule: ribosomal RNA, 295 nt
Filed under: uncultured Anoxybacillus sp.
Lineage: Bacteria; Bacillati; Bacillota; Bacilli; Caryophanales; Anoxybacillaceae
Description: partial 16S ribosomal RNA
Rfam family: Bacterial small subunit ribosomal RNA
Source: RNAcentral